GACCGCGUAGCUCAGUUGGCAGAGCAUUGGGCUAGUAUUCCAAAGGUCGUAGGUUCGAAUCCCACCGUGGACA
Paramuricea clavata is the source of this 73-nucleotide non-coding RNA. The record is from the annotation of a GenBank genome assembly. Lineage: Eukaryota; Metazoa; Cnidaria; Anthozoa; Malacalcyonacea; Plexauridae.